AAAAAAAAAAAAAAAAAAAUUAGCUGGCAAAUUCUGUGGCAGUUUUAAAAAGUUAAGCUGCUAUAGUAAGUUACUGGGCAUUCUCAAUACUUGAAUAUGGAACAUAUGCACAGGGGAAGGAAAUAACAUUGCACUUUAUAAACACUGUAUUGUAAGUGGAAAAUGCAAUGUCUUAAAUAAAACUAUUUAAAAUUGGCACCAUAAAAAAAGAAACCUUAAAAAUGAUUUCAUUCGAUUAUCAAUAACUUUGAUUAUACCAAAGUUAUCAAAAACGAUUCAACUUUCAAACUAAAAUGAUAAAAUGAAGAUUACAAUUGGACAAAUUUUGGCUCAAAACUAAGCCCCUGAUUUUCUGCCCUGUUACUUCAAACCUCC
This 375-nucleotide long non-coding RNA is filed under the name Homo sapiens (human). RNAcentral's name for it is "HSALNT0339215". The record is from RNAcentral. Lineage: Eukaryota; Metazoa; Chordata; Mammalia; Primates; Hominidae.